RNAcentral lists this ribosomal RNA (431 nucleotides) under uncultured bacterium. RNAcentral describes it as "bacterial SSU rRNA". It matches the Rfam family "Bacterial small subunit ribosomal RNA", at positions 354 to 796 of the family's 1533-position model. The record is from RNAcentral.
GCAGGGAAUAUUGCACAAUGGGCGAAAGCCUGAUGCAGCGACGCCGCGUGAGGGAUGAAGGCCUCCGGGUCGUAAACCUCUUUCAGGAGGGAAGAAGCGCAAGUGACGGUACCUCCAGAAGAAGCCCCGGCCAACUACGUGCCAGCAGCCGCGGUAAUACGUAGGGGGCGAGCGUUGUCCGGAUUCAUUGGGCGUAAAGAGCUCGUAGGCGGCUCAGUAAGUCGGCCGUGAAAUCCCGGAGCUCAACUCCGGGAGGCCGGUCGAUACUGCUGUGGCUAGGGUCCGGUAGAGGAGAGUGGAAUUCCCGGUGUAGCGGUGAAAUGCGCAGAUAUCGGGAGGAACACCCGUAGCGAAGGCGGCUCUCUGGGCCGGUACCGACGCUGAGGAGCGAAAGCUAGGGGAGCAAACAGGAUUAGAUACCCCGGUAGUCC